CCUACGGGUGGCAGCAGUGGGGAAUAUUGCACAAUGGGGGAAACCCUGAUGCAGCGACGCCGCGUGAGCGAUGAAGUAUUUCGGUAUGGAAAGCUCUAUCAGCAGGGAAGAAAAUGACGGUACCUGACUAAGAAGCCACGGCUAACUACGUGCCAGCAGCCGCGGUAAUACGGCGGGGGUCAGCGUUAACCGGAUUUACUGGGCGUAAAGGGGGCGUAGACGGGUGUGCAGGCCAGUAGUGAAAGCCCGGGGCUCAACCCCGGGACUGCAUUUGGAACUGGGGGGCUGGAGUGUCGGAGAGGCAGGCGGAAUUCGUGGUGUAGCGGUGAAAUGCGUAGAUAUUAGGAGGAACACCGGUGGCGAAGGCGGCCUGCUGGAGGAUGACUGACGCUGAGGCUCGAAAGCGUGGGGAGCGAACAGGAUUAGAUACCCGGGUAGUC
Molecule: ribosomal RNA, 440 nt
Filed under: uncultured bacterium
Lineage: Bacteria
Description: partial 16S ribosomal RNA
Rfam family: Bacterial small subunit ribosomal RNA
Source: RNAcentral